AACGUGUUAUCUUCGACUGUGCCUUUGCUUUACAAUCGUCAAUGCCGACGCGGUGCAAGACUCUUUAGCCCACACAAUCUCUUCCGUUUUCUUCUCUUUUUCUUCAACUCCAAUUUCUUCUCCGUCUUUUGCUUCUCUCUCUCUCGCUCUCUCUCUCUCUCUUUUUCUUUAAUUUUUAUCAACGCCGAUACUUUUUAUUUGUAAGAAUCCUGUCAAAGAAAGAAGAAGAACAUAUAUUAAUUAAUAAAUUAUAAUCUGAAGGAAAGCGCGUUCGUACAUCUCCUUUUUCCGGAAUAUCUGAUUAUUUCAGGAUGAAAGCAAGUGUGAUCGGACUUCGGGUGAAAGAACUCUCCCUUAUGCUUAUCGUUCUUGUGUGUACAACCAUUCUCAUAUGGGCAUGGGACAGGACUCCAAUUCUCACCACCUUUCUCCCACCUAAAAAGUGGAUUAUUUCGGCUGCCUCCAGAUGUUAUUUUGGAAACUCCUUCAACCAGCUCUGUAUCAUCAGGAGUGAAAAUAAUUCCAAGAGAAGAAAUGUUUUCACCUCCACAAAUAGAGACCAAACAUAGUAAAGAUGAUGAGCAUGUGGGCAUACAAACUCGAAGGGAAAUAGAAGAUAACGAAGUGACUUUGAGGGAAAGGAGUUCAGAACAAGAAAGACAAAGUUUAGAUGUAGUAGCACCAAUUGAUGAAACCUCUUCACUGGUGACGGAGAAGUAUGAAAAGAAUCAGACAAUGCAUUCAAAAACAGAAGGAUGUAAUUAUGCAAAA
Carica papaya (papaya) is the source of this 771-nucleotide non-coding RNA. The record is from RefSeq and is a predicted model, not a curated record. NCBI's taxonomy places the organism in Eukaryota, Viridiplantae, Streptophyta, Magnoliopsida, Brassicales, Caricaceae.